UUGCAAGCCUCCAGCUCGCUUGGGUCUGGAGCGGCCCUGUGUACCUACGGUACUUGCAAGAACAGUUCUGAAAUGGUUUGAGGCCUUGCUCUACACCAUCUACAGAGCAAGGUUAUAGAAAUUUCAGACAGUU
Loxodonta africana (African savanna elephant) is the source of this 133-nucleotide small nucleolar RNA. Ensembl annotates it as small nucleolar RNA SNORA9. Lineage: Eukaryota; Metazoa; Chordata; Mammalia; Proboscidea; Elephantidae. The record is from Ensembl.